GAGGAAGGAGGAAGAAGAAGGAGGAGGAGGAGGAGGCGCCCCGGCCGCCGUUGCCACGUCCCCGACGCCUUGUCCACCGGCGCCCUGACCCCUUCACCACCGCUGCCCUACGACGCCCACUAGAGAAGAGCCAGUCGGAGCGGCGCCGGAGUACCUCGGCGACCCCGAUCGCCUUCCUUGCCGCUGCGGGUCUGCCUGCACCGCGUCGCCUCGCCACUGCACCGACCCGCCACGGCCCCGCUAGCCUGACUCCACCGCCACCCUAGGUGAUUGAACAAAGAUGGUGGGCGGUGGGAUGAGGAAGCUAACGUCCUUGUACCGAAGGACAAUGACCGCUGCACCAGGG
Molecule: long non-coding RNA, 346 nt
Organism: Phragmites australis (common reed)
Lineage: Eukaryota; Viridiplantae; Streptophyta; Magnoliopsida; Poales; Poaceae
Exons: 3
Source: RefSeq, a predicted model, not a curated record